GUGUGUGUUGUUUGAGGUAUAUCUAAGGGGUUGGAGAAGGCUUUAGAUAUAUAUGAGUAAAAAAAACGUGGAAUAUAUUUAGGUGACGGGAGCAGGGCUUGAAUAUGUUGAGGUGAUGGGAGCAGGGCCUCUAAUGAAAAGUGAAAGUUGAGAAAUUCGUAAACAAAAGAGAAAUGGGUUAAGGGACGGAUGAGCACUAGUUCAUAUUUUAGGGUAUUCGGAGCCACAGUGGUAAAACGCAUGGUAUAGGACAUGCAGGCUUGUUGCCCUAAGGUAUAAAUUAGUGGGAUUAGAAGGGAGUGAGUUCAUGGCAUUACCG
This 319-nucleotide long non-coding RNA is filed under the name Prunus persica (peach). RNAcentral describes it as "long non-coding RNA (PPER_LNC004781)". Lineage: Eukaryota; Viridiplantae; Streptophyta; Magnoliopsida; Rosales; Rosaceae. The record is from RNAcentral.